Molecule: ribosomal RNA, 253 nt
Filed under: uncultured bacterium
Lineage: Bacteria
Description: partial 16S ribosomal RNA
Rfam family: Bacterial small subunit ribosomal RNA
Source: RNAcentral
UACAGAGGGUGCGAGCGUUAAUCGGAAUUACUGGGCGUAAAGCGCACGUAGGCGGCUUGGUAUGUCGGGUGUGAAAUCCCCGGGCUCAACCUGGGAACUGCAUCCGAAACUGCCUUGCUCGAGUAUGGGAGAGGGAAGUGGAAUUUCCGGUGUAGCGGUGAAAUGCGUAGAUAUCGGAAGGAACAUCAGUGGCGAAGGCGGUUCUCUAGUACGGUACUGACGCUGAGACGCGAAAGCGUGGGGAGCGAACAGG